This is a long non-coding RNA of Dipodomys spectabilis (banner-tailed kangaroo rat), 83 nucleotides long. RefSeq lists it as uncharacterized. The transcript is spliced from 4 exons. The record is from RefSeq and is a predicted model, not a curated record. NCBI's taxonomy places the organism in Eukaryota, Metazoa, Chordata, Mammalia, Rodentia, Heteromyidae.
GACCAGGACUUUGCCCAGGAGGCCCUGACUGUUCUGUCUCUUGCCUGAUGCUGGAAGAAGAGCCAGGACAGGCCCUCCGGUCC